This 908-nucleotide ribosomal RNA is filed under the name Aspergillus sp. FW4SW1. RNAcentral's name for it is "SSU rRNA". It matches the Rfam family "Eukaryotic small subunit ribosomal RNA", at positions 53 to 971 of the family's 1831-position model. The record is from RNAcentral. Lineage: Eukaryota; Fungi; Ascomycota; Eurotiomycetes; Eurotiales; Aspergillaceae.
GCAUGUCUAAGUAUAAGCAAUCUAUACUGUGAAACUGCGAAUGGCUCAUUAAAUCAGUUAUCGUUUAUUUGAUAGUACCUUACUACAUGGAUACCUGUGGUAAUUCUAGAGCUAAUACAUGCUAAAAACCCCGACUUCGGGAGGGGUGUAUUUAUUAGAUAAAAAACCAAUGCCCCUCGGGGCUCCUUGGUGAAUCAUAAUAACUUAACGAAUCGCAUGGCCUUGCGCCGGCGAUGGUUCAUUCAAAUUUCUGCCCUAUCAACUUUCGAUGGUAGGAUAGUGGCCUACCAUGGUGGCAACGGGUAACGGGGAAUUAGGGUUCGAUUCCGGAGAGGGAGCCUGAGAAACGGCUACCACAUCCAAGGAAGGCAGCAGGCGCGCAAAUUACCCAAUCCCGACACGGGGAGGUAGUGACAAUAAAUACUGAUACGGGGCUCUUUUGGGUCUCGUAAUUGGAAUGAGUACAAUCUAAAUCCCUUAACGAGGAACAAUUGGAGGGCAAGUCUGGUGCCAGCAGCCGCGGUAAUUCCAGCUCCAAUAGCGUAUAUUAAAGUUGUUGCAGUUAAAAAGCUCGUAGUUGAACCUUGGGUCUGGCUGGCCGGUCCGCCUCACCGCGAGUACUGGUCCGGCUGGACCUUUCCUUCUGGGGAAUCCCAUGGCCUUCACUGGCUGUGGGUGGAACCAGGACUUUUACUGUGAAAAAAUUAGAGUGUUCAAAGCAGGCCUUUGCUCGGAUACAUUAGCAUGGAAUAAUAGAAUAGGACGUGCGGUUCUAUUUUGUUGGUUUCUAGGACCGCCGUAAUGAUUAAUAGGGAUAGUCGGGGGCGUCAGUAUUCAGCUGUCAGAGGUGAAAUUCUUGGAUUUGCUGAAGACUAACUACUGCGAAAGCAUUCGCCAAGGAUGUUUUC